AACGGUAUAGCUCAGUUGGUAGAGCGUCAGCAUAAAUGUUGAAAGUCGGCGGUUCGAGUCCGUUUACCGUUCCA
RNAcentral lists this transfer RNA (74 nucleotides) under Muribaculaceae bacterium Isolate-004 (NCI). RNAcentral's name for it is "tRNA-OTHER". It matches the Rfam family "tRNA". From Rfam's summary of the family: Transfer RNA (tRNA) molecules are approximately 80 nucleotides in length. Lineage: Bacteria; Pseudomonadati; Bacteroidota; Bacteroidia; Bacteroidales; Muribaculaceae. The record is from RNAcentral.